This 254-nucleotide ribosomal RNA is filed under the name uncultured bacterium. RNAcentral's name for it is "partial 16S ribosomal RNA". It matches the Rfam family "Bacterial small subunit ribosomal RNA", at positions 524 to 776 of the family's 1533-position model. The record is from RNAcentral.
UACGUAGGGGCCUAGCGUUGUCCGGAUUUAUUGGGCGUAAAGAGCUCGUAGGCGGCUUGGUAAGUCAGGUGUGAAAUCUCCACGCUCAACGUGGAGGGGCCACCCGAAACUGCCAUGGCUUGAGUCCGGUAGGGGAGUGUGGAAUUCCCGGUGUAGCGGUGAAAUGCGCAGAUAUCGGGAGGAACACCAGUGGCGAAGGCGGCUCACUGGCCCGGUACUGACGCUGAGGCGCGAAAGCGUGGGGAGCAAACAGG